GAUGUGCAAUAAACGGAUGAGAUGUUCAUCUGGUCUGGAGGGGUCCAGGUUUCGUGAAAAUAUUUCUUACCACCUGCAGCCCCGCCUCCGUGUCAAUGUUAGUGUACAGACUUUCCACAUCUAUAGUAAAAAGGACUCGCUCCCACAAUCGGACACAAUUGGCCGUCCAGUCGAGACCUGAAAAGGGACCGUCCAUGCCUCCGGUUCUUUAUGGAUUUUUGGCAGAGGAGCCCCACCUCCCUACCCUACCCCCUCCUUUCAUUAAGCCCCAAGGGUGCAAUUGUUUGUAGCUUCAUUAUCCACACUCUUUCCCUCAUCCUCCUCUCCACAUUGGACCACCCGGGAUUACUUUCCAAGACCGACACCUUUAAACCAGAGACCAGACGAAUUUGAAAAUGACUGUCCGAUACGAUGGGGCGCCCUGGCGGGACCUCUCGAGGGACCGUCCAUGUCUCCAGAUCUUUGUGGAUCUUGGAGUUCCCUAAUGGCUACUCUCUGUACAGUAGAGAGAUUAUCUGUACGGGCUAUGGAACAGACCACCCCGGAUUGGUGUCCAGGCCCGACACCCUCAAGUCUGAAACUGGAUGAACUUGGAAAUGGUAAGUCAACUCUGUUUGUAAAUGGAAUUUGCGAAUUAUUAUAACAUCUAUUGUAAAGAUGUUGUUUUAAUCGCACCAGUAUUGUAUGCUGUGUCUCCCCUAUAUAAAGUUUACCACAGGUGCUGCAGGCAAUUACAUAGACCACAUUCCUGUCUGUUAUCAAUACCUUUUUCCACACCGGUGCCUCCUCCCCAUUUGUUCACCAAAAAAGACCUGAAUUGAAAAAACCUGCGGAGUUGUACCUGUGAGUCUUCCAUCUUCGCUGGUAACCCUGAGCGUACUAAAAGAUCCUUCAGAUUUUUAUUCCAUCUAUAGGCUGCAAUUAUCCUGUGUGUCCGGAGCGAUGGUAAAUGACUCUGCACAUUGGCGAAGUUGUUCCUAAUUUUCCCAAUCAAUGCUUUAUUGGACUCCGAGAAGGUAGUAAUAAAAGGAAUGAUGUUUGUAUCCUCUUUACACAGUCCAAGUGCUCGGCCUGAUACAGCUUCAGCUUUAGCACACCUUAGCAGCCUCUUAG
Megalops cyprinoides (Indo-Pacific tarpon) is the source of this 1113-nucleotide long non-coding RNA. RefSeq lists it as uncharacterized. The record is from RefSeq and is a predicted model, not a curated record. Lineage: Eukaryota; Metazoa; Chordata; Actinopteri; Elopiformes; Megalopidae. The transcript has 6 exons.